RNAcentral lists this ribosomal RNA (1343 nucleotides) under uncultured bacterium. RNAcentral's name for it is "16S ribosomal RNA". It matches the Rfam family "Bacterial small subunit ribosomal RNA", at positions 28 to 1378 of the family's 1533-position model. The record is from RNAcentral.
GACGAACGCUGGCGGCGUGCUUAACACAUGCAAGUCGAACGGAAAGGCCCUGCUUUUGUGGGGUGCUCGAGUGGCGAACGGGUGAGUAACACGUGAGUAACCUGCCCUUGACUUUGGGAUAACUUCGGGAAACUGGGGCUAAUACCGGAUAGGAGCUCCUGCUGCAUGGUGGGGGUUGGAAAGUUUCGGCGGUUGGGGAUGGACUCGCGGCCUAUCAGCUUGUUGGUGGGGUAGUGGCUUACCAAGGCUUUGACGGGUAGCCGGCCUGAGAGGGUGACCGGCCACAUUGGGACUGAGAUACGGCCCGGACUCCUACGGGAGGCAGCAGUGGGGAAUAUUGCACAAUGGGCGGAAGCCUGAUGCAGCAACGCCGCGUGCGGGAUGACGGCCUUCGGGUUGUAAACCGCUUUCGCCUGUGACGAAGCGUGAGUGACGGUAAUGGGUAAAGAAGCACCGGCUAACUACGUGCCAGCAGCCGCGGUGAUACGUAGGGUGCGAGCGUUGUCCGGAUUUAUUGGGCGUAAAGGGCUCGUAGGUGGUUGAUCGCGUCGGAAGUGUAAUCUUGGGGCUUAACCCUGAGCGUGCUUUCGAUACGGGUUGACUUGAGGAAGGUAGGGGAGAAUGGAAUUCCUGGUGGAGCGGUGGAAUGCGCAGAUAUCAGGAGGAACACCAGUGGCGAAGGCGGUUCUCUGGGCCUUUCCUGACGCUGAGGAGCGAAAGCGUGGGGAGCGAACAGGCUUAGAUACCCUGGUAGUCCACGCUGUAAACGGUGGGUACUAGGUGUGGGGUCCAUUCCACGGGUUCCGUGCCGUAGCUAACGCUUUAAGUACCCCGCCUGGGGAGUACGGCCGCAAGGCUAAAACUCAAAGGAAUUGACGGGGCCCCGCACAAGCGGCGGAGCAUGCGGAUUAAUUCGAUGCAACGCGUAGAACCUUACCUGGGUUUGACAUGGAUCGGGAGCGCUCAGAGAUGGGUGUGCCUCUUUUGGGGUCGGUUCACAGGUGGUGCAUGGCUGUCGUCAGCUCGUGUCGUGAGAUGUUGGGUUAAGUCCCGCAACGAGCGCAACCCUUGUUCACUGUUGCCAGCACGUUAUGGUGGGGACUCAGUGGAGACCGCCGGGGUCAACUCGGAGGAAGGUGGGGAUGACGUCAAGUCAUCAUGCCCCUUAUGUCCAGGGCUUCACGCAUGCUACAAUGGCUGGUACAGAGAGUGGCGAGCCUGUGAGGGUGAGCGAAUCUCGGAAAGCCGGUCUCAGUUCGGAUUGGGGUCUGCAACUCGACCUCAUGAAGUCGGAGUCGCUAGUAAUCGCAGAUCAGCAACGCUGCGGUGAAUACGUUCCCGGG